GGAUGUGAGGGCAAUUGGCUGUGACAUCCGUCACACCAUUGAUCACCAGAGUUGACUCAGCUGAUUUAGCUGGCAGAUGUUCCCUUCCUCAUGUAUGUCCCUUCCUCACACAGGUGGGGGGACAAGCUUUGAUCAAGGCUAUGAGCAGUUGCACUAACAGGCUAGAACCUCCAGACAAGCUUCUAAGCGCUGAGCCACCACACCCAGCUGUUUGUGCU
Unclassified non-coding RNA from Mesocricetus auratus (golden hamster), 218 nucleotides. Its record names the gene 7SK. It matches the Rfam family "7SK RNA". From Rfam's summary of the family: 7SK was discovered as an abundant small nuclear RNA in the mid-70s but a possible function has only recently been suggested. Lineage: Eukaryota; Metazoa; Chordata; Mammalia; Rodentia; Cricetidae. The record is from Ensembl.